Molecule: long non-coding RNA, 1569 nt
Filed under: Brachypodium distachyon (stiff brome)
Lineage: Eukaryota; Viridiplantae; Streptophyta; Magnoliopsida; Poales; Poaceae
Description: long non-coding RNA (BDIS_LNC002769)
Source: RNAcentral
UUGCCGUUCACGGGCUAAAAUGGGCCGGAAACUGGUUCCGUCCAGCCCACGAGCACACCAUCAGCCCCAUCGCCGACUGAGGUCUCUCUCGCCGGACCCGGAGCGGGCCAGACACCACGCAGCGCGCGGCGCCCCUCCUCGCCGUCGACGACGACCCUCGCGGCGGCGACGAUGUCUGGGGCCUUCGCUGAGGCGGAUCCCAGGAGGUAUACAUUAUACAGUAGAUCUCAUCUCGUCUGGUUGAUAUCAAUUUCUUCGUUGGAUGCAGCUUAGCUGCAAGUAACCCAAUUAAUUUGGUUUUGUGGUUUCAGACAUUUCCGCUUUGCAAUCACGUGAGUAUCAAUUGCUAAUUUAGUACUCCUAAUUGGAUCGAUCCUUUCCCCCUUUUAGUCAAACAAACCUGUUUUCCCCCUUUAACCGGGUGCAAUUGUUUCUCUUUUGACCUUUUAGUUAAGCACAAUGUCUGUCUGCUUGUUUUGUUUUGUUUUGUUUUGUUUUGUUUUUUGCAGGGUGAGUGUAAGUUUUCACCUUAGGAGUAUUACCAAGAGCUAUCGAGUACUCCCUCCGCUCUAGUUCAAAUCCGUGCCAAUCUUUAUGGGACGGAGGGAGUAACAUUUUUGGUAUGUGUGUUUGAACCAGUGUAAGCUACUGAUCGUGUGUCAUCAUGUAUAAUAUCAUUUUAUGCCAUGUGACAGUCGAUGGAAGAAUAUGUGUUGCUCAGCAAAAAAUUGUUUCAGGUACUGAAAGAACUCUUGCAGCUUGUACUAAAUGUGUAUUUGGUUCUAUUUUGUCUCUGCAUCAUAUAUGACAUGAUGACUAUACAAGGUGCUGAAGACUUGAGGAUAUGGCAUUUACUGAAGCAGUGGAUCUUGCAGCUCGCUUUCUCAAUAUCUAUGUACAUUCGGUUUUGUCCAGGUAAGACACCUCACUCUAUGACUCCUUUUUGGGAAACUAAGCAUCACCUCUCUCACUUAACUCCUAGUUUAGCUGCUGGGGAGCAUUAAGUGGUGUUUUCCAUUUGGGAUUGUGAAUGUAGCAUUGUGUUUGAUCUUUCUUACCAUAAGGGUUGUACAUAGAGUGCAUAAAACCAGUUAACACCAACAGACCAAAAAAGGAACAAUUUCUCAUCAAUUUCGGAGUAGCAAUCCAAACUGUGUUUUGCAGUGAUGGUUGGAACUCAAGCCCAAAAAACACAGAAACUUCUAGAUGCAAUCAAUUGAUCAAUAUUUCCAUCACAAUGGUAAUAAAAGAUUUUCAUUUAUGAAUUCGCAAGCAAAAAAGAAAACGAGGCACUGCAGCUAAACUAAAAUCAAGCUGUGUUUGUUUCUGUUGGAUAUUAUUAUCCAAGCCAAGUAGAAGAUAUUAUCUAAUUAUCAGUUAGCCUGAGACACCCAGGCAAAAUGGUCAUCUUUGUCUAUUACAAAAUUGGAGCUCUUUUUUUAUAUGAGGAUUAGGAAUGUGGAGAGGAAGAAGUCAUCCAAGAGCAUCGCAGUGACAAAUUACAGGCACCAGGGAAGGGGUGAUGAGGCGGCUUGGGGCGACAGAUGCCAGCGCGAUGGCCUGUGGGAG